This 590-nucleotide ribosomal RNA is filed under the name Odontobutis potamophilus. RNAcentral's name for it is "partial 16S ribosomal RNA". It matches the Rfam family "Bacterial large subunit ribosomal RNA", at positions 1809 to 2606 of the family's 2925-position model. Lineage: Eukaryota; Metazoa; Chordata; Actinopteri; Gobiiformes; Odontobutidae. The record is from RNAcentral.
AAAAACAUCGCCUCUUGCAUAUAAAUUAUAAGAGGUCCUGCCUGCCCUGUGACUCUAAGUUUAACGGCCGCGGUAUUUUAACCGUGCAAAGGUAGCGCAAUCACUUGUCCCUUAAAUAGGGACCUGUAUGAAUGGCUUAACGAGGGCUAAACUGUCUCCUUUCCCCAGUCAAUGAAAUUGAUCUACCCGUGCAGAAGCGGGCAUAACACCGUAAGACGAGAAGACCCUAUGGAGCUUUAAGACAAAAGAUAGAUUAUGUCAAAUACCCUUAAUAAUGGAUUGAACCAAAUAAAUCCUAUCCCUAUCUUUGGUUGGGGCGACCGCGGGGAAACAACCAACCCCCACAUGGAAUAAGUACACCCAUACCUUUAAAACCAGAGCCACAGCUCUAAUAAACAGAACAUCUGCCCACACAGAUCCGGCAAAAUGCCGAUCAAUGGACCAAGUUACCCUAGGGAUAACAGCGCAAUCCCCUUCUAGAGCCCCUAUCGACAAGGGGGUUUACGACCUCGAUGUUGGAUCAGGACAUCCUAACGGUGUACCCGCUUUUAAGGGUUCGUUUGUUCAACGAUUAAAGUCCUACGUGAUCU